Molecule: ribosomal RNA, 216 nt
Filed under: Glomeromycotina sp.
Lineage: Eukaryota; Fungi; Glomeromycota
Description: partial small subunit ribosomal RNA
Rfam family: Eukaryotic small subunit ribosomal RNA (bases 40-216)
Source: RNAcentral
GGGUCAGUAGGUUGGUCGUGCCACCGGUACGUACUGGUCUCACUGAUUCCUCCUUCCUGAAGAACCGUAAUGCCAUUAAUUUGGUGUUGCGGAGAAACAGGACAGUUACUUUGAAAAAAUUAGAGUGUUUAAAGCAAGCUAACGCUUGAAUACAUUAGCAUGGAAUAAUGAAAUAGGACGAUCGAUCCUAUUUUGUUGGUUUCUAGGAUUGACGUA